GUUGACAUAGAGGAUCGGGACUAAAUGGAGACUGGUUCAGGAUCAGUUCAAACGUCUUCACACUCGCUUUAACAAAGCCAUCUGGAGUUAAAGUCCACUUUCACGCUCUGCUCAUUUUUGAUGCAAUCCAGUAGAAAUCUCCCAAAACAGGCAGGUGGGCGGAGCCUGAGUAGAUGGUGUGUGUCAAGAUGCUGGGUGACAUUUGGGACGUGGUCCCUGAAGAGCCCCCUACCUGCCAGCGGGGUCCGACCUGGAUGUGGACAGUGGUCUUCCGGUCCCAGAGGACGGUGACGUCUUCGUCGGGGAAAUGAACCACGGUGAAGAACCCGGCCGGCCACAAGAACAUCCUCUGCUUCCUGUCGAUCGCGCUCGAUGGAUUCUGCGAGAAAAAAACUUUUUAAAACGUGACAACAUUUUCCCGCCUUCUCAUUUCAAUCUAAAAAGCUGAUCUCACGGGUUCCCCCGAGUCUUCGUCGAAGGCCACGGAGGAUCCGCCCACAUUGACCACGAGGGACUUCCUGCAGACGACUCCGCCGUCGAAGCAGCCGACGUUCUCAGCCGUCACGCUGAGCAUCACGUCGCCGCUGCUCUGUGGAGGACAGGCCACGCCCCUUUCACUUCGCAGGAACGCAAAGGGCUAAAAAAAUGCCGUUUGACUUUACUUAAGUGCACACGGUGUGUGAGGGCCCGGACAGACGGCGCACAUUGGAGGACAUACCUUCACCAGGUGGACCUCGCAGGCGCCCACGUAGUCGAACAGCAGCCCGUCGAACGUCCCGUAGUGGCGGUCUCCGUAGGCCGAGCACAUGGCCGGGCACGCACGGAACGCACAGCGGAACGUCCCGUGCUGGCAGACGCUGCAGAGACAGCAGAGCCUCAGUGAUUCAGCAUCGACUUGUCGAGGCUAAUGGGGGGUCGGGGGGGUCGGGAACAGUCGCAGGCUGAUUCUGCCGCCAUUAGUCUGUCAUCUGGUUCGAGUUCUCCCUUUCAGCGGCCCGGAGCGAAGAGUCGCACAAGGGCCCGCUCUGUUUUUUUGUCUUUCUCUUUCUUUCUGGCCCUGUUGAUCGGGGAGAAUUAUGGAUAUCGGGUGGCCCCUUCCUGUCAAUCCCAGGAGAAAAAAUUAGCAUCGCUGAUGGAGAUUUGUCCUGUUUCUGACGGACAGUGUGUGAAACACUCAGGGGUAAUAAAGGCUGGGGGGGGGGGCAAAAUGGGUCCAUUAAGGGGUCGUGGACCCCCCAAUACUUUGUAAACUCUUGACAGAUAUUUUUGACUGGUGGCUCGACGAUCAGGUCUUUGCGGCCGCGUGCGAGUGAGUAAAUGUGUUGCCGCGGUAACGGCGGAGGGUUAGCAACAAAACCACGUAGCGAAAUACGGUUUUCUGUUAACAUCCGAAGAAGGAGAGGAAGAGUAAGACGUCUUCCUGGUUUGUCAUGUGACGCCAUGUGGCCCAAAAAAAAAGAUUUCCCAUAGACUCAAAUCGGGAAAGAGACUUUUGUAACUAAGAGGGUCUUUUUCUCUUCCCAGCAUGGACCCUUGAUCUGAAUCAUUGCAGAGAUUUCAUCCUUCUUCCAUUGGACUCUGAACCUGAAGCCCUUCAUACAUCCGGGAUCCGUCCUGCAGGCUCAUGUUCAUUUAUCUAUAGAAAAGCUUUCUGCACCAAUGAAGGAAGGAAAUAUUCUGUGUUUUAAUGAACUAAAGAGUACUUGUGGUAAAUGCUGGUCGUACCACUGAUGGCAGGGGGAGGAGACUCGGUCGCCGGGGUAAUACUCCUUUCCUUUCCACAGACACGGACAGGAAGCAGCUUCGAAGCACUCGUCUCCAUGUUUCAGCAGGCUGCAGACACACACACACACACACACACACAAAUGAAGAGCUGCUUCAUCUAGAAAAAGGAGCUGGGAUUUGGUGGAUUGAGUUGAAUUAUUUCUUCUUAGACAUCCAUGAGAUUCCUUCAGUUUGGCUUCACCUUCUUAACUUAUAACAUUUACCCAGAUGCCCAAAAGUAUAUGACGUUUAUUCAUCUACUAACACACUCCUAACUGGAUCAACAAUAAGAGAGUCCUUCUGCACUCGGGGUCCACUCAGUCCUGAUAAACAUAUAACGCAGUAAUAAAUAAUACAUUGGGACGGCAUUCAUUCCAGCAGGGUUAUCAUCAGGCAUCAUCCUCCAUUCUAUCCGCCCCGAUGAUCCCACGUCUUUGUGAUCAGCUGAUUGGGCCGAUGAGCGACAUCAUCAAUGAAGCGGCGCGGGCCGGUUGUGAUCAUCGUUUCUUGUGUUUCGGCGACCCAACGAGGGAAGCGUCCUCAGAGGCCGAGCCGCAGCAGACACACCGUUAGCUACAUGAGAACACCAGACGAUUAGGAUUCUCAGAGAUAGAGGGAGAGACGCCCUUUGUUGCCCGGGACGGGGGCUGAUAAGUAUCUUGUAGUAUCCCGGGUCGAGAGCCACAGACCUCGGGCUCCGAUGAAACCGCGUUAACAGCGUCCUUUGUGCGGCCGCCAAACCGCCGUAUCGAUUACUCCGAUCAAAGGUCCCACAGAGGCAGCGGCGCAUCGCGAUACAUCCCCAUCAACCCGGGAUUUAAUCCCAGCAGAGGAUUGUAAAAAGGUGGCGGGUCACUUCUUCAAAUCAAACCCAUAGGAGCCGGUGAGUCUUCUGCUCUUCUCCAACACAGCACGGCGUUCCUUUAGUAACCGACUGUCCAUUUAGAGCAGGGGUCUCAAACUCGCGGCCCGCGGGCCAAUUGCGGCCCUCGGGACGAUAUUUUGUGGCUCCAUCCUUAAUAUGAAAGUGUAAUGUUAGUGCGGCCCGCAAGUUUUAUACUGUAACCCCACUGUCAGCUGCUGUGUGGGACAUGUUAUGAUGUUCUGGUUUCCUACUGUGUGCUUGUCCAGUGAACGUGGCAUGCAUGUGACUGACAUGGGGGGCGGGUCGUGUGUGUCGGCCGAGGUGCAGAGAGCAGGAGGGUGAAAUUCAGUUUCCUGCCCUCUUUCGCGCAGGUGAUCAUGUGACUAACCGUUAGCAUCGCUCGUUUAAUAAAGUUUUCCUUUACGACUCACACUAACAACACAAGAAGCAUCUGACGUCACCGACGAGCGUCUCCGUCCAUUACUACGCAGCUUCGAUUCACGUAACUUCACGUUUGGCUAUAAAGGAAUUCCACGGUCACAUGACCUUAGGUCUCCCCCGCUGAGUUAAAGGAGGACUAGUGUUGUAGUCUCAUUGGGACCGAUCCCCCAGGGUGGGGUUCAAUGACUGCUUUUGAAAGUGAGUGUUAAGUUGUGUUAUUGUCGACCAUGCCGUUCGGACGCUAGUUCGG
Gasterosteus aculeatus aculeatus (three-spined stickleback) is the source of this 3320-nucleotide long non-coding RNA. NCBI's taxonomy places the organism in Eukaryota, Metazoa, Chordata, Actinopteri, Perciformes, Gasterosteidae. The record is from Ensembl.